UACGUAGGUGGCAAGCGUUACUCGGAAUCACUAGGCGUAAAGCGCAGGUAGGAGGUUCGAUAAGUCUGUUGUGAAAGCUCCCGGCUUAACUGGGAGAGGUCAACGGAAACUGUCGAGCUAGAGUGUGGUAGAGGUAGCUGGAAUUCCCGGUGUAGCGGUGAAAUGCGCAGAUAUCAGGAGGAACACCGGUGGCGAAAGCGGCUCACUGGAUCUCUUCUGACGCUGAGGCACGAAAGCUAGGGUAGCGAACGGG
RNAcentral lists this ribosomal RNA (253 nucleotides) under uncultured bacterium. RNAcentral's name for it is "partial 16S ribosomal RNA". It matches the Rfam family "Bacterial small subunit ribosomal RNA", at positions 524 to 776 of the family's 1533-position model. The record is from RNAcentral.